RNAcentral lists this unclassified non-coding RNA (443 nucleotides) under soil metagenome. RNAcentral's name for it is "partial contains 5.8S ribosomal RNA, internal transcribed spacer 2, and large subunit ribosomal RNA". The stretch from base 1 to 121 matches the Rfam family "5.8S ribosomal RNA", at positions 35 to 154 of the family's 154-position model. The record is from RNAcentral.
GAUGAAGAACGCAGCGAAAUGCGAUACGUAAUGCGAAUUGCAGAACUCAGUGAAUCAUCAAAUCUUUGAACGCAAAUGGCGCUUUCGGGAUAGGCCUGAAAGCACGUCUCUUUGAGUAUCGAUUCCACCACAACAAGUCAACUUGUUUGAAUUUGUUGAAAUUGAGUCUUUUCAUAACUUUUCGGUUAUGUGACUUGAAGCAAAAUGGGUUUUGAUCAGUAAAGUCAAAUGCUUUUGGUUCUUCGGAACUAAAUAGAGAGAUUGAUUAUGUUCUUUGUAACGUGGGUAAAUCCAAUACGUGACAUUGAACUAUCAAAGAUCAAUCGAUUGAUAAACAUUUUAACUUUCAAAAAGCCCUUAUAACACCAAAACUAUUGUUAAGAAUUAGAUCUCAAAUGAAGCGAGAAAACCCGCUGAACUUAAGCAUAUCAAUAAGCGGAGGA